AGAAUAUGCUAUCUUAUUGGUCUUUCCAUCUGUCUAUUGUUCUUAUAAGAAUUUAUUCAGUACAGUUCCAUUUAUUUUUUGUUUUAUCUUAAAUAUGCUUUAAAUUAUAAUAUCAUACUACAGCUUCAGUCAUCAUCCAGCAUUACCCAGGUUAAGAUAAAAUACAUGUUACCAAAAACACUUGUAUCAAUAAACAAAAAGCAAUUUCAUUUUAUAUUUCUUACGUCUAACUGGUUAUGUUGUACGGUAACUAGGUCAGGUUCUGAGUCUUACAUUCACGAGAGUUUUUACCGAACAUUUUAUAAUUCGUAUAAUAUGUUUACCUUUUAAAGUAUGCUUCAAAACGCUUCACACGUAUUGUCUAGCCACGGGCAAAGUCAACUAUAUUAUAUUAUUGCAUUAAUUUAUUAUCAAAUUAUUAUUUUCCG
This is a non-coding RNA of Cinara cedri, 428 nucleotides long. Lineage: Eukaryota; Metazoa; Arthropoda; Insecta; Hemiptera; Aphididae. The record is from the annotation of a GenBank genome assembly.